CAUAUACUCCCUCCGUCCGGGAAUACUUGUCGAAGAAAUGAAUGAAUAUAGACGUAUUUUAGUUAUAGAUACAUUUAAUUUUAUUCAUUUCUCCGACAAAUAUUUCGGAACAGAGGGAGUAUAUU
Triticum urartu is the source of this 125-nucleotide non-coding RNA. The record is from Rfam. NCBI's taxonomy places the organism in Eukaryota, Viridiplantae, Streptophyta, Magnoliopsida, Poales, Poaceae.